This 939-nucleotide ribosomal RNA is filed under the name uncultured Alistipes sp. Its description in RNAcentral is "bacterial SSU rRNA". It matches the Rfam family "Bacterial small subunit ribosomal RNA", at positions 8 to 943 of the family's 1533-position model. Lineage: Bacteria; Pseudomonadati; Bacteroidota; Bacteroidia; Bacteroidales; Rikenellaceae. The record is from RNAcentral.
AGAGUUUGAUCCUGGCUCAGGAUGAACGCUAGCGGCAGGCUUAACACAUGCAAGUCGAGGGGCAGCGCGUGGCGGCAACGUCAUGGCGGCGACCGGCGGAAGGGUGCGUAACGCGUGAGCGACAUGCCCGUUGCCCGGGGACAACCGGUGGAAACGCCGACUAAUCCCCGAUGGGAUACGAUGCUGCAUGGCAUUGUAUUGAAAGUUACGGCGGCGACGGAUUGGCUCGCGUCCGAUUAGCUGGUUGGCGGGGUAACGGCCCACCAAGGCUACGAUCGGUAGGGGUUCUGAGAGGAAGGUCCCCCACAAUGGAACUGAGACACGGUCCAUACUCCUACGGGAGGCAGCAGUGAGGAAUAUUGGUCAAUGGGCGGAAGCCUGAACCAGCCAUGCCGCGUGCGGGAAGGAGGCCCUAUGGGCUGUGAACCGCUUUUGCCUGGGGGCAAUAAGGGCGCCGUGCGCGCCCGAUGAGAGUACCAGGCGAAUAAGCAUCGGCUAACUCCGUGCCAGCAGCCGCGGUAAUACGGGGGAUGCGAGCGUUAUCCGGAUUCAUUGGGUUUAAAGGGUGCGUAGGCUGUGCGUCAAGUCGGGGGUGAAAUUCCGGUGCUCAACACCGGGGCUGCCCUUGAUACUGUCGCGCUGGAGUGCGGAUGCCGCCGGAGGAAUGAGUGGUGUAGCGGUGAAAUGCUUAGAUAUCACUCAGAACACCGAUUGCGAAGGCAUCUGGCGAAUCCGUAACUGACGCUGAGGCACGAAAGCGUGGGGAUAGAACAGGAUUAGAUACCCUGGUAUUCCACGCCGUAAACGAUGAUGGCUAACCGCCGGCGGCAUACAGUCGGUGGCCAAGCGAAAGCGAUAAGCCAUCCACCUGGGGAGUACGUCGGCAACGAUGAAACUCAAAGGAAUUGACGGGGGCCCGCACAAGCGGAGGAACAUGUG